UACGAAGGGGGCUAGCGUUGUUCGGAUUUACUGGGCGUAAAGCGCACGCAGGCGGCCGUGCACGUGGGGUGUGAAAGCGCUCGGCUUAACUGAGCGAUGCCACCUCAUACGGCAGGGCUCGAGCCCGUGAGAGGUCCACGGAAUUGCCGGUGUAGUGGUGAAAUGCGUAGAGAUCGGCAGGAACACCCAGGGGGAAACCAGUGGACUGGCACGGUGCUGACGCUCAGGUGCGAAAGCGUGGGGAGCGAACCGG
Molecule: ribosomal RNA, 253 nt
Filed under: uncultured bacterium
Lineage: Bacteria
Description: partial 16S ribosomal RNA
Rfam family: Bacterial small subunit ribosomal RNA
Source: RNAcentral